RNAcentral lists this long non-coding RNA (1689 nucleotides) under Helianthus annuus (common sunflower). Lineage: Eukaryota; Viridiplantae; Streptophyta; Magnoliopsida; Asterales; Asteraceae. The record is from RNAcentral.
GCGGCUUCCAGGAUACGUUUCUUUUACAAAACCCUAGCAUCGGCAAUUAUUUAUCUCCUUCUUCAUAUGGUUGUAAAUGGGUUUACAAUUCAACCGUUCACACCAUCUACAAAUCCUUUCGGUACACUCUCAUCACAUCUGUUUCCAAUUUGGGGUUUCAACUUUCAAGCAAUCGGAACUUCUGUUUAGUUACGGUUUUGGUACUUAAUUGGAUUAAGUAGUUUUGGAAUUGAAGAUGAACUGUGCAUAUGGUUGAUUGGUUUUGAAGAUGCUUAAAGUGUUUUAAGAUAAGGGAUUCAGUGUGAUGCUGUGAUCGUUUCAUGAUAUUGGUGAUGUUGAGUUUCAGGAUAACUAGGGACGGGUUUGGGUAGACAAUGGUACUUCUGAUUGCUUUGCUCUUGAUGUGCUGCUUAAUCGCCUCACUGUACUAAGUUCCGAGUAUUUGGGUAUACAACAGGUGGUCUUUGGAGGUCGGUCAAUCUGCGAUUGGGAAGAGGGAAUGAAAAACCCUGAAGAUGGAUACAAGUACUUUAAGAUUGUUGCGCUCACAACGUUCGUUUAUGGAAAAUUGGAGAGCGAGUCAGAAGUAAGAUCUGAUCAAGGGAAGAUAGUGGACUUGUGAAUCCCACAAAGGAGAUCUCUAAAGCAACGGUGUGGUAACUCAAGUGGCGGCGGUGGUGGUGCUGCAAUCAUUUCGAUUCAACAAACCAUCUGGUCGUGGAAGGAGUGAUGGAUUGUAAGGAUAUGUACCUUCUGGAUCAUGUUGUGGCCGAUUCCAUGAGAGCUUUUUAAGGUAAAUUCAGGACGUAGCUUAUUUGGGAUUGUUAACGGACGGUGUGUUGAGGACCCGAAAUCAAUGGCGUCUGACUUAACCUGCAAUUCACUUCCGGGUCUUGACAUUGCUACAAACCGGGACAUAAUAGGGAUAUAUCUUGCUAAUUUGAUUCGGCUUCAUUGGAAACGCACAUCAAGAAUUAACCAUGGAUUGAUGUUGACUUCUCCUCUCAGACGAGUGCAUGAUGAUAACGGGAAAUGGAGUAUUGGAGCUCAAUGAUGGCAAUAGAGAGACAAAUGCUUCUAACUUGCUUUACACGGAGUAUUAAUCCUUUAAGCCUAACACGUCCAACUGAAACAAAAGCCUUCCUCAAUACACAUUAUCUUCUCUAUUCAUAACAAAACAUUAGUGAGGGGUUGGGAGGGAAAGUGGGGAAUGUGACGUGGAGGAGAAGGGUGAGAAUAAGAAGGUUGAAGAGAUCGGUCAAGAAGAGGCGUGGUUUAAGCGGAGUGAAAAGGGCAAGGUCGAGGAAUAAUGAUAGUUGCACCUGCUCGAUGUGCCGCCAUGUUGGAUGUAUAUCUCCCUUUGCCUAGAUGCUCAGGUUUCGUUUGUCAAGUGUUUUGCAAUGACCAUAGUGUGCUUAUUUUCGUACUACGUAUAUCUUGCUGGGGGCUUGGUCGACGGUUGAAGGAGCAUACAGGAUGAUUUCUGAGUUCUAAGGUUUGGUCAACAGUUUCAAGACGAAGCUUCUGGGCCAGAUGCUCUAUUAUAUUUCAGGGGCAUGACAACACACAUUGGGAGAAGAAUAUUGUUAUAUCACAAGUGUCAAGAAUUUAUAUUCUAUUUUGUAGAUACUCAUAAAUUAUUUAAUAUCACACCUUUUCAUUUGUCAAUCGAAACUGAAAUUUUGAGUU